GAUGAACGCUGGCGGCGUGCUUAACACAUGCAAGUCGAACGAAGCAUAGUGAAUGAAGUUUUCGGAUGGAUUUCACUUUGACUUAGUGGCGGACGGGUGAGUAACGCGUGGGCAACCUGCCCUUAACCGGGGGACAACAGUUGGAAACGACUGCUAAUACCGCAUAAGCGCACGUGACCGCAUGGUCGAGUGUGAAAAAUUCCGGUGGUUAAGGAUGGGCCCGCGUUGGAUUAGGUAGUUGGUGAGGUAACGGCCCACCAAGCCGACGAUCCAUAGCCGACCUGAGAGGGUGACCGGCCACAUUGGGACUGAGACACGGCCCAGACUCCUACGGGAGGCAGCAGUGGGGAAUAUUGCACAAUGGGGGAAACCCUGAUGCAGCGACGCCGCGUGAGUGAAGAAGUAUUUCGGUAUGUAAAGCUCUAUCAGCAGGGAAGAAAAUGACGGUACCUGCACAAGAAGCCCCGGCUAACUAC
RNAcentral lists this ribosomal RNA (476 nucleotides) under uncultured bacterium. RNAcentral's name for it is "bacterial SSU rRNA". It matches the Rfam family "Bacterial small subunit ribosomal RNA", at positions 28 to 504 of the family's 1533-position model. The record is from RNAcentral.